UGGGGAAUUUUGGACAAUGGGCGAAAGCCUGAUCCAGCAAUGCCGCGUGUGUGAAGAAGGCCUUCGGGUUGUAAAGCACUUUUGUCCGGAAAGAAAUCCUUGGCUCUAAUACAGUCGGGGGAUGACGGUACCGGAAGAAUAAGCACCGGCUAACUACGUGCCAGCAGCCGCGGUAAUACGUAGGGUGCAAGCGUUAAUCGGAAUUACUGGGCGUAAAGCGUGCGCAGGCGGUUUGCUAAGACCGAUGUGAAAUCCCCGGGCUCAACCUGGGAACUGCAUUGGUGACUGGCAGGCUAGAGUAUGGCAGAGGGGGGUAGAAUUCCACGUGUAGCAGUGAAAUGCGUAGAGAUGUGGAGGAAUACCGAUGGCGAAGGCAGCCCCCUGGGCCAAUACUGACGCUCAUGCACGAAAGCGUGGGGGAGCAAACAGGAUUAGAUACCCUGGUAGUCCACGCCCUAAACGAUGUCAACUAGUUGUUGGGGAUUCAUUUCCUUAGUAACGUAGCUAACGCGUGAAGUUGACCGCCUGGGGAGUACGGUCGCAAGAUUAAAACUUAAAUGAAUUGACGGGGUCAUAGCUG
RNAcentral lists this ribosomal RNA (580 nucleotides) under uncultured bacterium. Its description in RNAcentral is "partial 16S ribosomal RNA". It matches the Rfam family "Bacterial small subunit ribosomal RNA", at positions 355 to 932 of the family's 1533-position model. The record is from RNAcentral.